RNAcentral lists this ribosomal RNA (753 nucleotides) under uncultured Glomus. Its description in RNAcentral is "SSU rRNA". It matches the Rfam family "Eukaryotic small subunit ribosomal RNA", at positions 338 to 1092 of the family's 1831-position model. The record is from RNAcentral. Lineage: Eukaryota; Fungi; Glomeromycota; Glomeromycetes; Glomerales; Glomeraceae.
GGCCUACCAUGGUGGUAACGGGUAACGGGGUGUUAGGGCACGACACCGGAGAGGGAGCCUGAGAAACGGCUACCACAUCCAAGGAUGGCAGCAGGCGCGCAAAUUACCCAAUCCCGACACGGGGAGGUAGUGACAAUAAAUAACAAUACGGGGUUCUUUCGGAUUUCGUAAUUGGAAUGAGUACAAUUUAAAUCUCUUAACGAGGAACAAUUGGAGGGCAAGUCUGGUGCCAGCAGCCGCGGUAAUUCCAGCUCCAAUAGCGUAUAUUAAAGUUGUUGCAGUUAAAAAGCUCGUAGUUGAAUUUCGGGGUUAGUAGGUUGGUCAUGCCUCUGGUAUGUACUGGUCUCACUGAUUCCUCCUUCCUGAUGAGCCGUAAUGCCAUUAAUUUGGUGUUGCGAGGGAUCUGGACUGUUACUUUGAAAAAAUUAGAGUGUUUAAAGCAGGCUAACGCUUGAAUACAUUAGCAUGGAAUAAUGAAAUAGGACGUUCGAUCCUAUUUUGUUGGUUUCUAGGAUUGACGUAAUGAUUAAUAGGGAUAGUUGGGGGCAUUAGUAUUCAAUUGUCAGAGGUGAAAUUCUUGGAUUUAUUGAAGACUAACUACUGCGAAAGCAUUUGCCAAGGAUGUUUUCAUUAAUCAAGAACGAAAGUUAGGGGAUCGAAGACGAUCAGAUACCGUCGUAGUCUUAACCAUAAACUAUGCCGACUAGGGAUCGGAUGAUGUUAAUUUUUUAAUGACUCAUUCGGCGCCUCACG